GUAACCUGCGGAGGAUCAUUACUGAACUGUCGACACGAGUUGUUGCUGGUCCUCGAAAGGGGGCAUGUGCACGCUCUGUUUACACAUCCACUCACACCAUGUGCACCCUCUGUAGUUCUGUGGCACUGGGGACUCUGUCCUCUUGCUGUGGUCCUACGUCUUUACACACACACCGUAAUACAGUCUCAUGGAAUGUAUGUCGCGUUUAACGCAAUACAAUACAACUUUCAGCAACGGAUCUCUUGGCUCUCGCAUCGAUGAAGAACGCAGCGAAAUGCGAUAAGUAAUGUGAAUUGCAGAAUUCAGUGAAUCAUCGAAUCUUUGAACGCACCUUGCGCCCUUUGGCUAUUCCGAAGGGCAUGCCUGUUUGAGUAUCAUGAACACCUCAACUCUCAUGGCCUGCCAUGAUGAGCUUGGAUUUUGGGGGUCUUGCCGGCCUAACCGUCGGCUCCUCUCAAAUGAAUCAGCUUGCCAGUGUUUGGUGGCAUCACAGGUGUGAUAACUAUCUACGCUUGUGGUUCUCCACCAGGUGACCUUCAGCAAUGGAGGUUCGCUGGAGCUCACAGACGUCUCUCCUCAGGGAAGACAGCUUUUUGAACGUUUGAUCUCAAAUCAGGUAGGACUACCCGCUGAACUUA
This 638-nucleotide ribosomal RNA is filed under the name uncultured Tomentella. Its description in RNAcentral is "eukaryotic LSU rRNA". The stretch from base 223 to 377 matches the Rfam family "5.8S ribosomal RNA". Lineage: Eukaryota; Fungi; Basidiomycota; Agaricomycetes; Thelephorales; Thelephoraceae. The record is from RNAcentral.